This 468-nucleotide ribosomal RNA is filed under the name uncultured bacterium. RNAcentral describes it as "partial 16S ribosomal RNA". It matches the Rfam family "Bacterial small subunit ribosomal RNA", at positions 28 to 507 of the family's 1533-position model. The record is from RNAcentral.
GAUGAACGCUGGCGGCGUGCUUAACACAUGCAAGUCGAACGGAAAGGCCCAAGCUUGCUUGGGUACUCGAGUGGCGAACGGGUGAGUAACACGUGGGUGAUCUGCCCUGCACUUCGGGAUAAGCCUGGGAAACUGGGUCUAGUACCGGAUAGGACGAUGGUUUGGAUGCCAUUGUGGAAAGUUUUUUCGGUGUGGGAUGAGCUCGCGGCCUAUCAGCUUGUUGGUGGGGUAAUGGCCUACCAAGGCGUCGACGGGUAGCCGGCCUGAGAGGGUGUACGGCCACAUUGGGACUGAGAUACGGCCCAGACUCCUACGGGAGGCAGCAGUGGGGAAUAUUGCACAAUGGGCGCAAGCCUGAUGCAGCGACGCCGCGUGGGGGAUGACGGCCUUCGGGUUGUAAACUCCUUUCGCUAGGGACGAAGCGUUUUUGUGACGGUACCUGGAGAAGAAGCACCGGCUAACUACGUG